GGCCAACCAAUCUUUGUACUCACAACGCAAGAGCUGUGUUUGGGUUCUCGGCAAUAAGUCAGACUUCUUUCCUGUGGGGGUUGGCCUCCGCCAGGGUUGCGCCUUGUCACCAAUCCUGUUUGUGAUAUUUAUGAAUAGAAUAUCGAGGUGUGGUCGGGGGGAGCAGGGACUUCAGUUUGGUGGAAUCAGGGUCUCAUCACUGCUUUUUGCAGAUGAUGUGGUCUUGUUGGCUUCCUCAGCCUGUGA
Thalassophryne amazonica is the source of this 246-nucleotide long non-coding RNA. RefSeq lists it as uncharacterized. The transcript is spliced from 3 exons. The record is from RefSeq and is a predicted model, not a curated record. Lineage: Eukaryota; Metazoa; Chordata; Actinopteri; Batrachoidiformes; Batrachoididae.